RNAcentral lists this long non-coding RNA (683 nucleotides) under Homo sapiens (human). Its description in RNAcentral is "HSALNT0018278". Lineage: Eukaryota; Metazoa; Chordata; Mammalia; Primates; Hominidae. The record is from RNAcentral.
GGAGGCCGGGGAGCGCGGGCAGGAGCUGGGGGCGCACCACGUUCUCGGCGGGCUCCGCGCGCCGCUGGUAACCCUACACCCAGGGCUCGCCUUUCGGGGUGGAAGCUGAGGAAUGCCUUUUGUGUGGACAAGUUUUCCAGAGGAGCCGGCCGCCCUCUCUGUGGGGCCGUCCAUCGCUCCGUAGAGCCGUUUCCUCCGAGGUCAAGGUCGUUGGUUCCCGCUCUCCAGAGGCGUGAGGGAAACCCGGAGGGAACGCGCUCCGCGCAUCCCGUCUGCCGCGGUGCCGGAAUUGCCCGCCGCCGCCUUGGGUGGGGACCGGUUCUCAGGGUCCUGGGGGCUCUCGAGCAGAUCACUUUCCCCAGCGCGGGACGGGGGUCGCAACCAGGGGCAUUCCCUGCAGCCGCGGCCCAAACCGACGGAGCUUGCUUUCUCCUUCCACCCAGAGGGGGUGACCGAGCCUCACCUAUUUCCAAGCCUAUUUUUUCACAAAGACGGGAAGCAAUAAAAGUGGCCUCAGGAGAUUCCGGAAAUCUCUACAAAGAGAAAGUGCCCGUUCAUCUUUCCUUCAGCCGACUGGCUUCACUGUGAAGCAUGGGGUAGUUGUGCACCUCCAGAUGACAGGACAGACACAGCAACACAGCCAGGAAGGGUCAGCUGUGAUUACACUGACCCUGGGAUAAAAC